This 480-nucleotide small RNA is filed under the name Pongo abelii (Sumatran orangutan). RNAcentral's name for it is "retained intron". The record is from RNAcentral. Lineage: Eukaryota; Metazoa; Chordata; Mammalia; Primates; Hominidae.
GUUCCCCUCAGGCAAUGCGCAAAGGCAAGUUUUCAGAGGGCGAGGCCACACUACGGAUGAAGCUGGUGAUGGAGGAUGGCAAGAUGGACCCUGUAGCCUAUAGAGUCAAGUAUACACCACACCACCGCACAGGGGACAAAUGGUGCAUCUAUCCCACCUACGACUACACACACUGCCUCUGUGACUCCAUCGAGCACAUCACUCACUCACUCUGCACCAAGGAAUUCCAGGCCCGACGCUCUUCCUACUUCUGGCUUUGCAAUGCACUGGACGUCUAUUGCCCUGUGCAGUGGGAGUAUGGCCGUCUCAACCUGCACUAUGCUGUUGUCUCUAAGAGGAAGAUCCUCCAGCUUGUAGCAACUGGUGCUGUGCGGUAGGUGCGGCUGUUUGGCUUAUGAAAGGUUAAUGGCAUGUGCUCCCAAAGGCCUUCUCACCACCUUCUUAUCCACAGGGACUGGGAUGACCCACGGCUCUUUACAC